GAGCUUUGUUUACAAGAUAUAAUACAUAGAGACGUAAUCUUAUAACAUCCAAGUGAACUUCAUCCCUAAAGCAACCACUCUGGGAGAUCACAUACACAAAUAACAAUCCUACCAUGGCUGAUAACAAGGAAUCCCUCUGUGGAAACAGAUGUCUAAGCCUGGGGCAUUUUGAACACCCUCAAGGAUGGUAAGCCUUAUCCUUUAAUGCUGUAGUUCAUUCUCAUAACAAUUCAGUCAUGCAUGAUCAAACCUUGUGAGCCAGGUAGUAUGAUCAAGGUGGAUACUAUAGAUUUUCAACAACCAAGAGAGAGACCACAGAAUGAUGACAAAUUUUGCAUGGUUCAUACCCUGGUUCCAAAAGUAACUGCAGAAAAACAAAAGUAUUCUGACCAAAAGCAGCAUGAUUGGACUAAUAUCUACUAUUUAUUGGACAAUUUGCAAAGCACUGUGCAACACAUCACAUACAUUAUCUUAACUGUGUCUCAUGGAAGCCCUAUGAGGUAGGUAUUGCAUCCACAUCUUACAGAGAAUACAACAGUUUCAGAAAAAUAAGCUGCUUUUCUAUGAUCACACUGCUAGAGAGAAGCCAAACCAUACUAUGAUCUUAAUCUAUCUCACACCCAGGAUGCCCUGAUAGGGAUAAAAGUUAUCUCCAUAUAUGAGAGAUCCAUGUUUUCAAAGAGACGCAGAAUCACUUUAUUUUAUAAUCACAUAUAGCAUUAGUGUCAUCACUGUCUGAAAAAAGGUGUCUCUAACUAAUUCUUCCAGGUUACUGUUUCUGCUAAAGUGUCUUCAGAAAUGGCAUUACCAGUGAAGCUGCCCAAAAAGCCUUCUGAAACAAAACACCCACUGAAGUGGGACUUUAUCUAUAUUUAGUGGAAAUUACACUUUUAGGACUUUAGCUUAUAGCUAUACCCCGCCCAGAUAUGCAUAAUAACAUUAUGUUCAAGGUUAUCACUGUAAAAGCAAAAGAAAGGAAAUAACCUAAAUGUUCAUUAGGAGCAAAGUAAAUUAAUUAUGGUAUAUCCAUUCAAUAGAACCUUAUGUAGCCAAAAAAGGAAAGAGGUUCUUUGUUCCUUACAUACUGAUAUGGAAUGAUCUCCAUUUUAAAAAAAGGCAAAGGGCAAACAUUGUAUAUAGCUUGUUAUCUGUAUAAACCCCCAUGCAACGUGUGUUUGUUUAGGCACAGAAUCUUUCUCAGAGUAUACAGGAAACUGGGGACAGCACUGGAGGACGGGGAGGGGGAGGGCCCUUAAAACACUUUUGUAUCUUGACCUGGAGGAAAAAGUUAAUUUAAACCUUUUUUUCCAAUUAAAAAAAUAUGGACUGAUUCUAUGUUUGACAAAUACAAGGGUAAUUUCUGACUGCAGAAAAAAACAAAAAAGAAAGUUUUCUUAUAAGAAUCACUCUAAAGUUAUAAUGUACAUACAUUUCUUUAAAUGUGAAAAGGCAUAACAUUUCCUUUAUAGACAACUUCUCAUGUAUCCACCAUGUAAUAUCAAAUGCACCUGUAAUCCCUUAAAACAAGUAUGAUUCUUUUGAGGGAAGAGAGCCAGAUGAAAUGCAUCAUUAUGGAAAAACAUGCAUACUAGACUAUGACUUCUGAGGACAAAAGCCAUCAUUUUAUGUAUAUUUAAAUUCCCCAGUUCCUGACAGGGUUCUCAGAAUAUAGUUUCUCGGUUAAUGCAUAGCAAAACGAUUUACUGGUUAAAUUAGCAACUAUGGAGCUGCCUGACAACAGUAUAAAAAAAUAGAUAAUUCACUAGAAACUGGCUUCUAGAUUUUAAUUUUAAUUACUUUGAAACAACAUAAUUUAGUACCAAAAGUUUAAACACCCAUUAUACUUGCUAAACUGUGAAAUCAGCAUCAUUUAUAUCUAAUCAGCUAUAUAAAACUCAUCAAUUUCUCUUUUGAAAACAGGUAGCAGAGAUCCAAAGAAUAAGGGGAGACUAAUUAAAGGUCAUGUUUACUAAUCUAGCACCAUAAUUCCAGUCUUAGGACCUCCCAAGAGGCUGGAAGGAGGAAGGGCAGAGGUGAGGAUGCUGGAAAAGUAGGGUAGUUCUUAACUGCGGCUCCACUUGUGCUCUAAGGCAACACAGGGUCCAGCAAAGAAGAAACUCGCUGAGGCUGGAGAUGAAAACAAAAGCUUUUGGUUGAGAUAGCAAAGGAGGUUUCUUCUUGGCAUCCAAGUCCUUUUUAAUAUCUUCAAGUUUUUUAGCCAGGUUUGGUAUCUUUAAAGAGAAAAAAGAUUAUCAUAAUUUUGCAUCUAUCUAAUCAAUACUCUUUUACUUUUCUUCCUUCCAAGAUGAAUGGUUGUACAACUUCUUAUUUUCCUCUGAAAGAGGCCUGCUUAAUAGUGAUAUUUC
RNAcentral lists this long non-coding RNA (2366 nucleotides) under Equus caballus (horse). Its description in RNAcentral is "lncRNA (ENSECAG00000059650.1)". The record is from RNAcentral. Lineage: Eukaryota; Metazoa; Chordata; Mammalia; Perissodactyla; Equidae.